This is a long non-coding RNA of Callithrix jacchus (white-tufted-ear marmoset), 672 nucleotides long. RefSeq lists it as uncharacterized. The record is from RefSeq and is a predicted model, not a curated record. NCBI's taxonomy places the organism in Eukaryota, Metazoa, Chordata, Mammalia, Primates, Cebidae.
GGGCAGGGAGGGCUGAAAGGAGGGCCAGAGAGAGGAAAAGCAGGAGGGAGAUUUUUGGUUUUCAAUUCCCUGAUGAGGCUGCUGGCGUCCGCGCCCUUAACGCCCCAGCCUUCCAAGUUGAGGCGAAAGCCACCUCCUCGGGCCUGCGUCGCAUCCAACUUACUCCAAGUUUUCUGGUGACUCCUACAGGGCCCCUCUCCGUCCCCCCUCCCCCCUUUGUGAGAUUGACAGUCGCGUGGAGGAGGCUUUUCCAGGCACAGCCUUUCUCAUGGUAAUCAGCCCCCAGCAUCACCUCCCGGUCGCGGCUGCUCCCGCUCGGAGCGCGGCUAGCGGACCCCGGGGACCGGAAACAGGGCGGCGGGCGGGGAGCAGGCGAGCGAGCCAGGCUCAACUCCGAAUGGAUUGGAUUGCGAGUCUGCACGUGAGAAAACCGUUUGGCUUGCCUUGGACCCCUGCCGCCCCCCACCCCCUCCACACACACCCAAUGCAGGGUCCCCUUUAUCACCCUUUGCUUGGAACUCCAAAAGAAGUUGCCCACCUCCUGAGUCACAACACAAGGUCGAAUAAUUCCUCCAGAUGAAAGAUCAGUUCCAUUUCAAAACGAGAAUAGGUUCCUUUUUUUAUUCUCUCCACAUGGUACAAAAUAAACAGAAUUUGCUUUAAAAAAAAUCA